CUUUUCCCAGCAGAGUUCAACUCCCUAUCUUCUUCCACUAGCUUCUGACUGCUCUAAUGAAAACCACUUUGAUUCAGUGGCCAAGAGUUAAACGAGGCUCUCGAAAUGUGCUCACUGGCGGGCUGUGGGUCCUUAGAGGAGGUAAAGUCUUGGUUUUUUUUUUUAGUGAAUCUAGCCCUAGUUCCCUGGUUCCUAUAUCUGGCUGAAUGUCAUGAUCAGGGAAACUAGUUAAACAUCUACAUUCCUGAUGCAAUUCCAAUGUCACUGACUCAGAAUUUGAGGUGGCUGGCGGCUGAGGACCACAGGAGGCCCAGGAAUCUGAAUCUGAAGUGUCCAGGCGAUUCUGACAUUCAGACGGCUAGUCGAAACCCUUGGUGUAAAUCUCUUCCCAGGUUAACAGGUAGAUGGAAUCUGGAGGCCCUAGGACUUGCUACUACAUCUAUUACAAGCAGGAAUUUCCAAGAAGACUAACAGACCUGAAUUCUUUUAUCUCACAAUCCUGGAAUUGCUAGGAAUCUUAAAGGUCAUUGAGUGGGAUAUGUACAUUUUGAAGACUGCCUUAGCUAUCCAAAGGACAGGCAAUGACAUCAAGAUUAGUGAGGCGCAUAAUUCUGGGAUGAUGUGACAAAUGAAUACACUUCUCCUCAUCUACCCCCUUCCUGUAAUUACAAAGCUUUUGUUGGGUGCUAUGGACCAAAGGAAUCAGUCACCUGGACUCUGCAGUGUGGCCUGGUUGCCAUGGGCAGACUUGUGAGCUGGGACUGUUUUGCAUACAAAGGAGAGCACCUAUGACCGUACAUAUUGAAAAUUCAAUUGCAGGUGUAUUUGCAAAUUGGAUUUUGAGGGGGAAGUUUAAGCAAAUCCUUUUGAAAGCGAAUCCCUCCAAGGUGUGAGUAAUGAAGAAAUAAAAGAAAAGUGACAAUCAAAAACCUAUUAAAAUCUAGUUUCCAGAGAAGACUCUGUCUAAUGACAUUUAUGCUUUCAUAGCUAGACAUUUAACAGUCAUUUUGUGUCAGUUGCUUCCUUUAUAAAUGCCACGUGACAGGUUUUUCAGUUCUCUCUGUUUCUAAGACCCUAAUCCCCACCACUCUUAGAUGCUUGAAAUGAGCUGGUGACGCUGAGAGAUGAGGUUCUCUGUGCCUCUGGAUUUCUCUACAGGAACCAAUAAUGACGCCUCAAGCACCAAUAUAUGAAA
Physeter macrocephalus (sperm whale) is the source of this 1195-nucleotide long non-coding RNA. RefSeq lists it as uncharacterized. The record is from RefSeq and is a predicted model, not a curated record. The transcript is spliced from 4 exons. NCBI's taxonomy places the organism in Eukaryota, Metazoa, Chordata, Mammalia, Artiodactyla, Physeteridae.